UGCGUAGGCGGAACUUUAAGUCAGUGGUGAAAUCCUGCGGCUCAACCGUAGAACUGCCAUUGAUACUGAUGUUCUUGAAUAUAGUUGAGGUAGGCGGAAUGUGUAAUGUAGCGGUGAAAUGCUUAGAUAUUACACAGAACACCGAUUGCGAAGGCAGCUUACUAAGCUAUGAUUGACGCUGAGGUACGAAAGCGUGGGGAGCGAACAGGAUUAGAUACCCUGGUAGUCC
This 229-nucleotide ribosomal RNA is filed under the name uncultured bacterium. RNAcentral describes it as "partial 16S ribosomal RNA". It matches the Rfam family "Bacterial small subunit ribosomal RNA", at positions 568 to 796 of the family's 1533-position model. The record is from RNAcentral.